UGCAGAUUGUCCUCGAGGCUGACGCAAGC
Molecule: small RNA, 29 nt
Filed under: Bombyx mori (domestic silkworm)
Lineage: Eukaryota; Metazoa; Arthropoda; Insecta; Lepidoptera; Bombycidae
Description: ovarian small RNA-8497
Source: RNAcentral